UCUAGUCUGGGGAGACUCAUUUGGGACCCCUUCCCUCCAGAACUGUGAGCGCACGAUUCAUAUGGCUUUAGGCCAUUCGAGCUCGUUCCAGCAGCAGUGGAAGGUUGACACGGCAUUGAGCUCUGAACGUCUAAAUAUCUGAAGUCCGUGAGCCCAACCUUCAUCUCUUCCCUGUUUGUAAGAGACUGAAUGACAAAGCCCAAGCGAGGCACAGGAAAGUAACAGCCCCUGCAUGGCUGGCCCAAUCUGCGGAGGUGCCCAGCGCUUCCUGUCCUUGCACCUGCCCUGGGCCUGCCUUGGACCCUGGGGUCUCCCCCCCGCCCCCGGUUGUCGCGUCUCCCCGGGAGGGCACCCAGUCUGGCUGGGACAGGAUGGGCGACCCCACGCCAACCACCUAGGUGAGUUACUGUCAGCCGACAGAACCAUGAGACAACAGUACUGUUCAGCCCCUAAUUUUGGGGGGGGUAGUUUUAUAGCAACAAGUACCAUCCCUUGGGGGCCCAGACGUAGAGUUUCUGUAAAGCUUCUGGCCCUGCGAGCUGCUAGCCUAGGUGACCUUACUCUCUCCGUUCUAGAAUUCCCACGGAGCUUGCGGAUACCACGUAACCACGUAUCUUCUUACGUACAUAGGAUUUCCUCCUCAGCUGGACUCUGUGAUCUUCCAAGAGGACGGACAGUGGAAGUGCCUUCUGGAGUCCCUUCGUGUCCUAGUACUGGAUGAACAAUGUAACUGGUGAGCUGCUGAGCACUGGAUUAAGAGCAUUCUUGGCCAUUUUAGCUCUCUGCCAACGACUUUAGCCUCGGCUCUUUCUCAUGGCUUCUUCUGGGGCAGUCUCAGGGCACGGUUAUGAAAAGCGUGUGUGGCGGCGGGCAGCCUUGGGUCUUUCCUCCUGAAGACAGUCCGUGGCCGCCGAGGAGCAGCAGCAGCAGCAGCAUCUGGGCCUGCCCCAGACCUGGCCUAGUUGGGUGUUGGAAGAGAACUCAACACCCUGCACAGGUGAUUGUCAAAUAUAACGUCGUUCGAAGCGUGUUCCAAAGCUUGUUCGCCCCGUGAGUCCCCGACACCCCUUCCCUUGGAAUAACUGAUAGACUGCAUUCCACCCGACCCUGGUACCCCAAUGGUCAGUGCUCAAGAAUGCAGGGGUCUGUUUUAAGCACACUUCAAGUUCAAGAGGAAUCUGAGCAUGAUUUUGUUCUGUGGCGCGCACCUGCUCCUCAGCUGCUCACUGGCACCGGGCUGGUAGCCCUGGGGCAGCAUGCACUCAUUCCGCCCGGUAGGGACCUUCUAUUUGAGCUUGGUACUCUUUCCUCCUGUGAAUAACCCUUGCCAAGAGACACCUUUACAGUAAGUGCGAAGGAGAUGCUGGCACAGAGUUCCAGCUGAGUAAGAGUCAAAGCCAGAGUGAGAGGGAAAUAAAAUGCCUGUGACAGAAACACAGUUUAUAGAAAAUGAUGUUGGUGGGUCAGCAGACAGCAUGGCUUGCUGGCACAGGCAAAGUUCAGGAAUGGAGGUUUGAUGUGAAAGGGCUUUAUGAGAAAUGCCGUCUAAGUGAGUGCGUUCAUGGUGGAGGUUUUGCAACUACUGCUUAUCUAAUGAGAAGUUCUAGAAACUCUUAGAGCAAGAGGUAGUAGAGUAUAAAAUACACAUUUUGAAUUUGAAAUCCUGGCUUUGGUGCUCCUCAGCUCUUGUGUCCUUAGGCAACUAUUUAAUCUACCUGAACUUUUACUUCUUCAUCUGUAGAAAUGCUUCUGGAAUAGUAGGGUAAGACCUUUGAAAUUCCACUCUGCCAAACAAUCAAAGAGAACACAGGUAAAAAUUGUUAAAAUCAUUUUUUUCAAAGUUCUGGAAAUUAGCUAAAGGACUACAACAAUCCAGGGAGUAUUUAUUCAAGAAAAACAGUUGAAUCUCAGUAUGAACAGGGAGCUUUGUGGCAUUUUGACUUAACCACUUUCCUUACCCUCACUCCAAAUAUGUGGUGGCCAAGGAAGCGAACAGAAUGGGCUUGUUAAAAACGAUCAGCAACAACUGUUUAGCAUCAUCGCUAUCUAAGGCAGUCACACCAGUCAAGGCUAACGAGAGACCCAAGGUUUUAACUGAAAAAAGUUAAAACUGGUGAACGAGAUGUCCACAGAGGACACUGAAAAGCUCUAGCGUGUUAGUGGAGUCCGAGAAGUCCUUGCACACCCAGGAGAUCUGACCAGAUCACCUUGAGGCUCUGCAGAAGCAAGAAGUAAAGGCUAAAGUAGAACUGUCAGGACUUUCCAGAACACUGAAUGUGUGCUCCAACUUUGAUGGAAAACAUUAACCUACAUAUCGAAGACGUUCAAAGAACUCCACGGAAGAAAAACUCAAGAGACCACAGGUAGACCCAACAUGGCCAACUUCUGGAAAGCAGCAGGAGAAAGGGAACUCAUCACAGGGGAUCUUCAGCAAGUUGAAUGUCCCAACAGAAACCAUGCAGGCCAGGUGGUAGGAUGGAUGACACGUUUAAAGUGCCAGAAGAAAAACAAAAAUGAAAAAACCCUAUUAGCCAAGAACUUGAGAGCCAGCAAACUGUUCUUCAAAAAAUAAAGACAUCCCCAGAUAAACAACUGAGAGAAUAUGUUGCAAAUAGACGUGUUUUGCAUGAAAUACUAAAGGGACUCCUUUAGACUGAAAUAAAAGGAUGAUCCGAACUUGAAUUCACGUGAAUAAAGAACACCAGUAAAAAUAAAUAUAUGAGAAUUAUAAAAGUAUAAAUGUAUUUUUAUUUACACCUCUUCCAUAUAAUUUAAGACAACCGCAUAAAACAAUACUUAUUAAACUUCUGAUAGGUUUACUUAUAUAUAGAUGUAAUUUGUAUGACAAGAGCACAAAAGAGAGAAAAGGAAUGAAACUAUCGGAGCAAUGGUUUUGUAUACUAUUGCAAUUAAUCAGGUAUUAAUCUAAACCAGAUUGUUUUAACAUGCUAAUAGUAAACCUUUCGGAAAACCACUAAGAAAAUAACUUUAAAAAUAUAGUUGAGAAAGAACAAAGGAAUUAAAGGGGCGUACUCAAACUUAUUUAAUGCAAAAGGCGGCAAUUACAAAAGAAGAGAGGAACAAAAGCGAUGUAAGACACAUAGAAAAUGAAUAAUAAAAUAGUAGACCUAAAUCCUACCUAAUCUAUAAUUAUAUUAAAUGUAUAUGGAUUAAACAUUCCAAUAAAAAGGCAGAGAGUACCAGAAUGAAUUUCUAAAUAUGGUGUAACUGGGGCACCUGGGUGGCUCAGUUGGCUAAGCAUCUAACUUCGGCUCAUGGUCUCAAGGUGCUGGGCUUGAGCCUCACAUCGGCUCAAUCAGAGCAGGGAGGCUGCUUGUCCCUCUCCCUUUCUCUCUGCCCCUCUCCCCACACUUGCUCCCUCAGUCUCUCCCUCAAAUAAAUGAAGAAUAGAAUAAAAUCUUUAAAACAAACAAACAUGGUAACUACAUUUUCUCGGCAAUACACACUCUUUAGAUUCAAAGGUACAAAUAGACUCACAAUAAAAGGAUGGAAAAGGAUGUACUAUGCAAGAAGUAACCAGAGAAGAGAAGAGCUAUACAAAUAUCAAGGAAUAUACACUUUAAAAUUGUUACCAGAGACAAGGGAAGACAUUUUAUAAUGGAAAAGGGUCACUCCAAUAGGAAAAGAUAAUUAUAAACAUAUAUGUACCAGGACGCCCAGGUGGCUCAGUAGUUGAGCAUCUGCCUUCGGCUCAGGUCGUGACCCCAAAGUCCUGGGAUGGAGUCCUGCAUUGUGCUCCCCACAGGGAGCCUGCUUCUCCCUCUGCCUGUGUCUCUGCCUCUCUCUCUCUCUCUUUUUCUGUGUCUCAUGAAUGAAUAAAUAAAAUCUCUAAAAAAACAAACUAUAUAUGUACCUAAAAAUAGAGCCCAAAGCAAAAACUAGUAAAAUUAAAGAGGGAAGCAGACAAUUUAGUAAUAGUUGGUGACUUUAAUAACCCACUUUUGAUAAUGCAGAAGAUCAACAAUGAAAUAGAAAACUUGAACAAUGAAUGAACUAGAUCUUUUUUAAGAUUUAUUUAUUCAUUCAUUCAGGAGAGACACAGAGAGAGGCAGAGAUACAGGCAGAGGGAGAAGCAAUCCCAGGGGACUCGAUCCCAGGACCCCGGGAUCACGACCCGAGCCCUAGGCAGAUGCUCAGCCGCUGAGCCCCCCAGGCGCCCCUGGAUAAACUAGAUCUACUAGACAACUAAAGAAUGCAUCCAACAGCAGCCAAACAGACAUUCUUCUCAUGUACACAUGGAACAUUCUCCAGGAAAGGCUACACGUAUCCCCUGUUUCUCAAAAGUUUGUUUUAAGCCACUUUGCUUUCAUGAAGGACCUCCAUCAGGCCUUCAUUGUGAAAGGCCUCUUGCUUUUGCUAACUGAAUGAAAUCAAAGAGGAUUUCCACUUUUAUGAAGAAAAGGUGAGAAGAGUGUUCAGCAUUGGUUUCACAGCAAUAGAGGGAUGUGCACACCCAGAGCAGCAAGAGCGGCCCCACGGUGCUCCUUCUCCUGGAACUACCCUCCGCAUCUCAGCACCAAGCUGCCAAAGCUCUGAACUGUGUCUGUGAGCAUCUGUUCUUCAGUUUGAUUUAUUUUGUGCAUCCAUUAGCAAGAUGUGUCAUAAAGUAUCAGAAAAGCCUAAACGAGGUCUGGGGAUGCUCAAUUUUUUUUUUUUUUUUGUCUAAAUUAAUGGUAAUUGCUCCUUUAUGCCAUUUCAGCUCACAAAAGGUUUCACAGGGACCCUCCAUUUUGGGGUGGGGGAGGGGGAAUCCUGUGCAUAUUAGGUCAUCAAACCUCAGUAAGUUGUAAAGGACUGAAAUCGCACAAACUCGAUUCUGGAUCAUAUGUGGGAUCAAAACAUUUCCUCGUUUGUAAAAUGUGACAAUAUUUACCUGAGAGGGGGAUAAAAGAAAUCACAUCUCAAGUAGCUAGCACGGGGCCUAAUAAAUAGUAAGAAUAUAAUAUAUACAAUAGUGUGUUAGUUUUCUCUUAUGCUAGAGCAUUGUAAAUCAUAAGUUAGCUUCCUCCUUAAAAAUUUAAAAACAAAAUGUUUAAAUGCCUUGAAUUGGUGGCAGAUUAUAUAAUUGAUGGUCUCUUAGUACUGAAGAAAUACAGUAUCACAACCCUGAUGCUUCCACCACCAUCGUGGCUAAAAGUUGAAUAUAAAACUUGUCUUAGCAGUAAACAACUGGUACAUUUCUAAAUUAUCCUGUUUGUAACUAAAUAAGAUGAUUAUUGAUCCACUUGGUUUUUCUUCAAUGAUCGUCCAUUAGCGUCCAUGAAUGUGGGACUUUUUCAUUCAUUUCACACCAGAGAGGAUCAGACCGUAUUUUCAUGAGUUAAUUCCUCUGAUCAAGAUACAAAGUUUGAGGGACCCCUGAGUGGCUCAGUGGUUGAGCGUCUGCCUUCGGCUCAGGGUGUGAUCGAGUCCUGCAUUGGACUCCUCCCGGGGAGCCUGCUUCUCCCUCUGCCUGUGUCUCUGGCUCUCUCUCUCUCUCUCUGUGUGUGUCUCAUGAAUAAAUAAAUAAAAUCUUUAAAAAAAUAUAAAGUUUGAAUUUUUACCACUUUAGAACAGAACCCAGUUCAGUCUGUGGCUACUUUCAUGCAACAAAGCAGAGUAGUUGUGACAGAGUCCAAAUGGCCCAUAAAGCCUAAAAUAUUUAUUAUAUGGCCUUUCAAAGAAAAAGUUUGCUGAACUCUAACCGAAGAACUAAAUAAUUCUUGGGUGGGCCUCAUAGAUGAUAUUCUAGGAAAGACACUGAAAAGGCAUGCAAGUCAUCCUUUUACUUCCAAGUUUGCAUAACUUUCUUCAACAUGGCCAAUCCUGUCUCAUUCUGAGUGCCCACCAACCCCCACCAGUCGAUGUUUGAAGCAAUUCCCAGAUACACACUGUAACGUCUAUAAGUGAGUCUAUUUGAAUUGUAUUUUAAGACAUAUAAUACUAAUAGUGAUAGCGCUUAUCUGUUUUGGAAAUAUGAGCACAACCGCAGUUAAUUUUCAAAUUCUACUGUGCAUUUGGCAGACUGGCCAGAUGUCCUCUAAUUUAUAUUAGGGCUUC
This is a long non-coding RNA of Nyctereutes procyonoides (raccoon dog), 6060 nucleotides long. RefSeq lists it as uncharacterized. The transcript is spliced from 3 exons. NCBI's taxonomy places the organism in Eukaryota, Metazoa, Chordata, Mammalia, Carnivora, Canidae. The record is from RefSeq and is a predicted model, not a curated record.